RNAcentral lists this long non-coding RNA (224 nucleotides) under Mytilus galloprovincialis (Mediterranean mussel). Lineage: Eukaryota; Metazoa; Mollusca; Bivalvia; Mytilida; Mytilidae. The record is from RNAcentral.
UGAACACAUUCAUAACAUACUUUUAUUUAAUAAAAUCUUCUGUUUGUAUGGUUUCAUCCUCUAGAGUUGUGUAAUGUGUGUCCAAAAUUAGGGAAACCCCUGUUCUGAGAGUUCCUCCAAUGUCCGGUUAUUUCGCGCAUGCCUUCCAAAAAUAGCUUAUUUUGAAUAAAGGAAAGGUUUUAUUCUACGAAAUAUUGCUGAGUUUGAACCCAACACACCGCCAA